This 497-nucleotide ribosomal RNA is filed under the name uncultured bacterium. RNAcentral's name for it is "partial 16S ribosomal RNA". It matches the Rfam family "Bacterial small subunit ribosomal RNA", at positions 28 to 507 of the family's 1533-position model. The record is from RNAcentral.
GAUGAACGCUGGCGGCAUGCCUAAUACAUGCAAGUCGAGCGAACAGACGAGGAGCUUGCUCCUCUGACGUUAGCGGCGGACGGGUGAGUAACACGUGGAUAACCUACCUAUAAGACUGGGAUAACUUCGGGAAACCGGAGCUAAUACCGGAUAAUAUAUUGAACCGCAUGGUUCAAUAGUGAAAGACGGUUUUGCUGUCACUUAUAGAUGGAUCCGCGCCGCAUUAGCUAGUUGGUAAGGUAACGGCUUACCAAGGCAACGAUGCGUAGCCGACCUGAGAGGGUGAUCGGCCACACUGGAACUGAGACACGGUACAGACUCCUACGGGAGGCAGCAGAAGGGAAUCUUCCGCAAUGGGCGAAAGCCUGACGGAGCAACGCCGCGUGAGUGAUGAAGGUCUUCGGAUCGUAAAACUCUGUUAUUAGGGAAGAACAAAUGUGUAAGUAACUAUGCACGUCUUGACGGUACCUAAUCAGAAAGCCACGGCUAACUACGUG